Molecule: ribosomal RNA, 492 nt
Filed under: uncultured bacterium
Lineage: Bacteria
Description: partial 16S ribosomal RNA
Rfam family: Bacterial small subunit ribosomal RNA
Source: RNAcentral
AGUGAACGCUGGCGGUAGGCCUAACACAUGCAAGUCGAACGGCAGCACAGUAAGAGCUUGCUCUUACGGGUGGCGAGUGGCGGACGGGUGAGGAAUACAUCGGAAUCUACUUUUUCGUGGGGGAUAACGUUGGGAAACUUACGCUAAUACCGCAUACGACCUACGGGUGAAAGCGGGGGAUCUUCGGACCUUGCGCGAUUGAAUGAGCCGAUGUCGGAUUAGCUAGUUGGCGGGGUAAAGGCCCACCAAGGCGACGAUCCGUAGCUGGUCUGAGAGGAUGAUCAGCCACACUGGAACUGAGACACGGUCCAGACUCCUACGGGAGGCAGCAGUGGGGAAUAUUGGACAAUGGGCGCAAGCCUGAUCCAGCCAUACCGCGUGGGUGAAGAAGGCCUUCGGGUUGUAAAGCCCUUUUGUUGGGAAAGAAAAGCAGCAGGUUAAUACCCCGCUGUUCUGACGGUACCCAAAGAAUAAGCACCGGCUAACUUCGUG